Long non-coding RNA from Ctenopharyngodon idella (grass carp), 800 nucleotides. RefSeq lists it as uncharacterized. NCBI's taxonomy places the organism in Eukaryota, Metazoa, Chordata, Actinopteri, Cypriniformes, Xenocyprididae. The record is from RefSeq and is a predicted model, not a curated record. The transcript has 3 exons.
UGUGAUUUUUAACAGUAUUUUUAUUUAUUGAAAUGAAUUUUAAUUACAUAGCAUACUAUUACAUUUAAUUACAUACUAAUAUUAUGCAUUAUUAUGCAUUGCAAAUUAUGCAAAAUUACAGCAUUUAAAUGGUUCUCCUUUUCCUAUGUUCUCCUUGCUAUGUCAUAUAGUGUCUCUCUCAGUGAAUGGGACAUAGAUUUUACAAGUAAAAUUUAUAUAAUGAAUAAUAUAUGUGUCAAAUAAUGUUCUUAGUCUUUUCUUCCUGUGGUGGAGACUACAAUAAUUUACUGUGAAUUAAAUGGAAAUCAAAUUACUAAUAUUUUAUAGUCUGUGCUUCCAAAUGACUCCUCAAGCUUUAAAACACAUCACAAGUUACAACAUGCAGACUUUGAGCCCAUAUUGGACAGUUGGCAAACUUGUAGUGUAACAAAUUUAACAUAAUAGUAUUUUCCUCAAACACACCUAUUGUUUCACUUCAGAAGACAUUGAUUCGUCAACUGAGGUCAUGUGGAUUACCAUCGUGUUCACUUCGUUUGGUAUUUGACCUUCUUGCGUGAACUCACAGAGAUGGAUUAUUUUUCUUAAUAUCUCUGUAUUCAACAGAAAAAGAGAAUGUCAUAAUCCUCUGGAACAGCAUGAAGGAGCAAAGAGCAAAACUGACAGUGGUGGACAGAGAAGAAGUGCCCUUGACGAGGAAACCAUGGCAGCCAUAUAGUCAAGAAGAGAUUUCCAAAUGUGUCCAAAGAGGCUUUGAGGAUUUGAACUGGGGAAACAGACUUCUUGAAAGCAAAAAAGAUAUA